This 406-nucleotide ribosomal RNA is filed under the name uncultured bacterium. Its description in RNAcentral is "partial 16S ribosomal RNA". It matches the Rfam family "Bacterial small subunit ribosomal RNA", at positions 30 to 526 of the family's 1533-position model. The record is from RNAcentral.
AUUGCACGCUGGCGGCAGGCCUCACACAUGCAAUUCUACCGAGUGGCGUACGGGUGAGUAAUGUCUGGGAAACUGCCUGAUGGAGGGGGAUAACUACUGGAAACGGUAGCUAAUACCGCAUACCAUCGGAUGUGCCCAGAUGGGAUUAGCUAGUAGGUGGGGUAAAGGCUCACCUAGGCGACGAUCCCUAGCUGGUCUGAGAGGAUGACAAGCCAAAAGGGAAAGGAGACACGGUCCAGACUCCUACGGGAGGCAGCAGGGGGGAAUAUUGGACAAUGGGCGCAAGCCUGAGGCAGCCAUGCCGCGUGUAUGAAGAAGGCCUUCGGGUUGUAAAGUACUGUCAGCGGGGAGGCGUUACCCGCAGAAGAAGCACCGGCUAACUCCGUGCCAGCAGCCGCGGUAAUUC